RNAcentral lists this unclassified non-coding RNA (378 nucleotides) under soil metagenome. RNAcentral describes it as "partial contains 5.8S ribosomal RNA, internal transcribed spacer 2, and large subunit ribosomal RNA". The stretch from base 1 to 120 matches the Rfam family "5.8S ribosomal RNA", at positions 35 to 154 of the family's 154-position model. The record is from RNAcentral.
GAUGAAGAACGCAGCGAAAUGCGAUAAGUAGUGUGAAUUGCAGAAUUCAGUGAGUCAUCGAAUCUUUGAACGCACAUUGCGCCCUUUGGUAUUCCGAAGGGCAUGCCUGUUCGAGCGUCAUUAUCACCCCUCAAGCCCCUUGGCUUGGUGUUGGACGGCUGGCGAUGACCUCCGGGUCGUCGCCCCUCCCAAAGACAAUGACGGCGGCCUCGUUGGACCCCCGGUACACUGAGUUCUUCACGGGACACGUACUGGAUCAAGGGUGCGCGGAGCACGGUCUUAACCAUUUCACCCCUCGCGGGCGGAAUAAUUUUUCUAGGUUGACCUCGGAUCAGGUAGGGAUACCCGCUGAACUUAAGCAUAUCAAUAAGCGGAGGA